AGAGCGAACGCUGGCGGCAGGCCUAAUACAUGCAAGUCGAACGCACCUUCGGGUGAGUGGCGGACGGGUGAGUAACACGUGGGAACGUGCCUUUUGGUUCGGAAUAAUCCGGGGAAACCUGGCCUAAUACCGGAUGUGCCCUUCGGGGGAAAGAUUUAUCGCCAUUAGAGCGGCCCGCGUCUGAUUAGCUAGUUGGUGAGGUAACGGCCCACCAAGGCGACGAUCAGUAGCUGGUCUGAGAGGAUGAUCAGCCACACUGGGACUGAGACACGGCCCAGACUCCUACGGGAGGCAGCAGUAGGGAAUCUUGCGCAAUGGGCGAAAGCCUGACGCAGCCAUGCCGCGUGAAUGAUGAAGGUCUUAGGAUUGUAAAAUUCUUUCAGCGGGAAGAUAAUGACUGUACCCGCAGAAGAAGCUCCGGCUAACUCGCGCCAGCAGCCGC
This 442-nucleotide ribosomal RNA is filed under the name uncultured bacterium. RNAcentral describes it as "SSU rRNA". It matches the Rfam family "Bacterial small subunit ribosomal RNA", at positions 26 to 518 of the family's 1533-position model. The record is from RNAcentral.